UUGGAGGGCAAGUCUGGUGCCAGCAGCCGCGGUAAUUCCAGCUCCAAUAGCGUAUAUUAAAGUUGUUGCAGUUAAAAAGCUCGUAGUUGAAUUUCGAGACCGGCUUAUUGGUCGUGCUUUUGUACGUACUGGUAUAAUCGGUUUCUCCUUUCUGACGAACUAUAAUGCCAUUAAUUUGGUGUUAUAGGGAAUCAGGACUGUUACUUUGAAAAAAUUAGAGUGUUUAAAGCAGGCUCACGCUUGAAUACAUUAGCAUGGAAUAACGGAAUAGGACGUUUGAUUCUAUUUUGUUGGUUUCUAGGAUCGACGUAAUGAUUAAUAGGGAUAGUUGGGGGCAUUAGUAUUCAAUUGUCAGAGGUGAAAUUCUUGGAUUUAUUGAAGACUAACUACUGCGAAAGCAUUUGCCAAGGAUGUUUUCAUUAAUCAAGAACGAAAGUUAGGGGAUCGGAGACGAUCAGAUACCGUCGUAGUCUUAACCAUAAACUAUGUCGACUAGGGAUCGGAUGAUGUUAAUUUUUUAAUGACUCAUUCGGCGCCUUACGGGAAACCAAAGUGUUUGGGUUC
RNAcentral lists this ribosomal RNA (564 nucleotides) under uncultured Glomus. RNAcentral's name for it is "SSU rRNA". It matches the Rfam family "Eukaryotic small subunit ribosomal RNA", at positions 548 to 1114 of the family's 1831-position model. Lineage: Eukaryota; Fungi; Glomeromycota; Glomeromycetes; Glomerales; Glomeraceae. The record is from RNAcentral.